This is a long non-coding RNA of Brassica napus (rape), 1179 nucleotides long. RefSeq lists it as uncharacterized. Lineage: Eukaryota; Viridiplantae; Streptophyta; Magnoliopsida; Brassicales; Brassicaceae. The transcript is spliced from 2 exons. The record is from RefSeq and is a predicted model, not a curated record.
UUUUAUUAAACGCGAGAAACUACACGGCAUCUGGAGUCAAGUCAAGAACAUGACACUUUGUUGUUCCUUGUAGUAAAAAUGGUUUAGUAAACUAACCAAGAUGUGUGGUUCCAGUGUCUUGGGUUUGCUUUCAAGAUCAUCUGCAAUUUUAGCUGCUUCAAGCCACCAUGAGUCUCUGCUGGAAGCACUAUCUGGUUCGCGUUCGUUAUCAAUGUAAGUAACUAUCUGGAACUGGACGUAUAGGAGAUCUAUAAUCUGCAAGAGAAAAAGACAAAAGGCAAGUGGUAUUGGACAAGAUUCUGCUUUCAGAAUGUUUUUUUUCAAGAAAAUCUUCUGAGAAUAGUACACACCUCGACAAUCUGGAUCAUAGCACUUCUGAUAAUAGAUCCCCCUUCUGAUGUCAACAAUGUACAUCACUACAAUAACAACGUUUGUUAGCUGAGAAUAGCAGAAAACAAAUGAAACCCAGAGCAGAAAUGGAUGAAAUGCAGAUGGUACCAUGAUUGCUUUUAUGUUCCCUGCCAAUGCGUUCGCAGUAUCUAUUUCUCAACAUGCUGUACACAAUCAGGCUAUCUUCUGAAAACCAGUACCAGCACCUUAUCUUACCUAAAUAUCACAGAAUAACUCUUUAGAAUAUAAGCAUUACAAUCUCUCCAGAACAAAGACGUUGCACAAAGAUAAAUUGAAACCUGAGACAUCCCCGGUGGAAGCAGUGGAUUCUACGAAUUGGUCUACGAGCGGGAACGGGGACUUGCCCCCGAAGUACGAUGUUGACAUGUCACUUGUGCAAGCAUCCACUUGGAAUUUAUGAGCUCUCUGGUCUCUUACAAUACUGUUAUUGUUCACCUGCCAUCUCCAAAGAGUUCAGGUAAAAGGCACAUUUGUGGAAUCCUCCCUCAAGUUAGAAGGAAGAUUCAACAGGAAGCCAAAAGGCACACGUCUGUGAUUGUACGAAGCAAAAUUGAUGGAAAUUACCUCAGUGUCAAAGCAAAGUGUCUUCAUACAGUCUGACUCCAUUUUGCAAACCAGAAGCUUCUCACAAUCUGACGUCACGUUGCAGAUUAAGGAUGACAUGAAUACAUCUUGUUCGGUCUGUUUGUUUACCAAUGGUUUUGUUAGAUAUUGUAAUUAUUAUGAACUGUUCUUAAGUAAUACAACAAGUCAGAGCUGAAACAUCAA